ACUAAUCUAUUAACGAAGUUUAAUUGCGCGGAAUAUAUUUGUUGGUGGCUUUUAGAUAUCCUAGCCAUUGCACACCCGCCCAACCAAUUAUGCCCUGAAGGACAUUUUGUCUGCUUACUUAUAUUUAAUUCUGCAUUUCCCCUUUAUCAGAACCUGCAAAUACCCAUUUCAGACCGCCGUUUGAUUUUUACGGAGCUCAAAGCGGUAACCUUUUGGCAAGUGUUUAACUUUAGGUGUGCUUACAAAAAUAAUUGGCCAGAUUGGCCAGCGCUGAUUACGGCACCAAUUUCGGAUGUCGAAGUCACCCGGGUCACUAAUCCUGGGGAGCUCCACGGGAAUAGAAAGGACGUGCACAAGGGCAAGUACAAUUAAACAAUUUCCACUUAUAGUUAAAUUUUGCGACCCAAAUCAAAUUUAGUUGGACAUGCGGCAAAAAGGGGAUUUCAUUUCGGGCUAGCUGUACAGUGAUACCGCUGAAGCACUAAAGGUGCCUGCUGGAUAAGAACGUCUGCAGGACAUCAGUGGUUGAAGACAGCCCUGAGGCAGUGCGUCGAUGGCGAAAAUGGCCUGGAUGCUGUGCGUCAACUGCCGAAAGUGUAUCGGAAGUAGUGCGUCAUCACGGUGUCGGUGGCCGCAGGAGUGAGCUAGUUGGGCGGACUCAUCGUGGGACUGUUGCUGCGAUUGGCUUGCUUCUCCGCGUUCGUCGGUGGGUAGCUUGUUGCUCGACGACCAGGUGGUAUCAGGCGACCAGGCUGUUCGACGAGGUUAGGACCGCCAGAUAAUUACGUUCCGCACGUACUCAAAACUUCCGUGUCCCUCUAUAUAGGGUCUUCGGUGGCACUAUUUAACAAAAUCUGUUUAUAACAAGUAUUUUUAGAAUUAUAAACUGCAUACUUUAAUUCUGUUAAAAGAAAGAAUGACUAUGACUUUUCUCGAGAGAUUUCGAGAGGCGCUACCCGAAGCUGCAGCAGAACAUAGAAAUAAUUUGUAGCUUUGGAGACCCGGUAACUGACAUCAAGGCGGCACUGAAAUUGAGAUGCAGUUCCAACAGCGCCUUGCGCGGGGCCCACGCUUGCCGGGAAGUAUUACUAUUAAUAUCCUGCGCUCGUAUACUUUGUCUGCUUUUCCUUGCAGGUAAUAAACGGAUGUCUAUGGCGUGGUAAACCGAUAUUGCGUCUUUGCAAGUCCUCCAACAGGUACGCGUUGUUGCCAACUGACUUCACGUUUGGCGUUGAGAGAUUUGCUGAAGUUGCUCAGUGCAAAGUUUCGCCUGACCACCUCCUGAUCAGGCCUAGCAAGUAGUGACUUGUCGUGCUUCUGGACCUUUUCGUGGAUUUACACGGGGUUUGUCGGAAGCCUGCAUCUCUGCCAUUUCAUGGUCACACAGCGAUCUUAGCUUCCUCGCCAGUUUAUAACUCGCCCCCUUGAGGAACAUAUGUAUCCAAAUACAAUAAAGAACGGAGCUUCUCCGGUGGCUGAGUAACCAGUAUUUCGGAUAGCCACUUCAAUCUCCGUCAGAUGCACGUCCCACUCCCAAUGAUCCUCGUCCAAGAAGCUGCGAAUCGCGGCCAGAACAUUUCUAUUCACCUGUUCCGCCGCAUUACUCUGGGAGGUGAACUGUCUUCCGUUAUUCUUAUUGAACACCUCGUUCACAACGUUCGACGCGGACGCAUCCUUUAGGAACGUAUAUUUUGAAAAAUGAUCCACCUUCAUGAAAAUCCACGCUUGACCACGUUUGGACCUAGGAUAUUUUCCAAGAAAGUCAAUGUAGAGUUUCUGGAAUGGCCUCUACGUCUCGACCCUUUUACCUAUGACGACCUGCACUCAAAAUGUUGGUGCUUUCGACUCCUUACAUAUAUCGCAAUCUGGCACGAACGCAUGCACCUGGAUAGUCAUCCCUGGCCAAUAGAACUAACGUCGCAGCAUUUCCAGCGUUUUCGCCAUCCCAGCAUGAGCUGCCGUGAUGUCCGAAUGUGCUUCUUUAAUCAGGCUGUGGAUGAGGCUCUGCGGAAUCCACAACUUCCAUUCGGAUUCUUCGAGCUCAUCGUCCAGCAAAUUCGGUCGUCUCGAAACCUAACAACUCCGUCGGAUCUAUCCGGAGUUCUUCAACGCAUCGAGACAAUGUAUCAGCAACUACGUUUUGGCUGCCAUUACGGUGUUCGAUAUCAAAAUUGUACCCUUGCAGCUGCAGGGACCAUCUCGCAAGACGUCCGAAAAAGUCUUUCAUCGUCAUUAACCAUGUCAGACUGGCGUGAUCGGUUAUGCACGUAAACAGGAUUCCUUCAACGUAUGCCCUGAAUUUACGAAUGGCUAAGAUGCCCGCCAGGCACUUCUUUUCCAUGACAGAGUAGUUCACCUGGUGCCGGUUCAUCUUGGCCGAGAAGAACGCUAUCGGUUGCUCCUCCCCAUCCUGGUUUCUUUGAAUCAACACCGCACCGACCCCCAAAUGGGAAGCGUCGCACUGGUUAUCGAAAUGUUUCUUAAUAUCCGCAUGUACCAGGACCGGUGCGCUCGUCAAGGCCAACUUUUUGAAGGAGACAUCUCCGACCCUAUAAAGUAUAUAUAUUCUUGAUCAGCAUCACUAGGAGAGUCGA
Long non-coding RNA from Drosophila elegans, 2594 nucleotides. RefSeq lists it as uncharacterized. The record is from RefSeq and is a predicted model, not a curated record. NCBI's taxonomy places the organism in Eukaryota, Metazoa, Arthropoda, Insecta, Diptera, Drosophilidae. The transcript has 5 exons.